GGCUGCCUCGAGUUUGUUAUCUCAUUGGAAACAUUUAUGUCUGGCCUAGCAGGUGAUCCUAGGGCUUGGCCCGCUUGGCCCUAGAAUUUGAUGGCCUCUGGCAGCGUUUCUGGCCUGAAUAGCGUCCCCAUGUGGUGCACAAAGCAUUGGUUUCACCUGUUCCUCACAUUGUUUAGGUUUUUUCUUUUCGCAGACUAUGACAGGGCCUUUGCAGAUGCCUCCAGAGCUUGCCUCUCCUGCAGAGGAUGACUUGUUGAUGCCCCAGGUGCCUUCUUCAGGAAGGAGGCGUCUUCAGAGGCAGGAAAAAGCAUAGCAGGGAUGAUGCUUACACCUCCUUGCAGGUAAAUCAUCACUGGGCUCUGAUGAUGAUUCAGACAUCACCUUGGACCUCUCCAGGGGUCAGGGUGAGGCUGUUCCAGGUCUUUAGGGAGCAUCCUGGAUAGCUCAGCUGGUCAGCGUAUGGUGCCGGUAAUGCCUAGGUUGCAGGAUUGGUCCCUGUAUGGGACAGCUGCAUGCUCCCUCAUCACUUUACCCGGACACUGAGGUCCAGUGCCGAGGGCCUUUCUGGUGGUUCCCUCACUGUGAGAAGCCAAGUUACAGGGAACCAGGUGGAGGGCUUUCUCGGAAGUGGCACCUGCCCUGUGGUACACCCUCCCACCAGAUGUCUACUACCAGACUUUUAGAAGACAUCUAAGGCAGCCCUGUUUAGGGAAGCUUUUAAUGUUUGAUGCAUUACUGUAUUUUAAUAUUUUGUUGGAAGCUGCCCAGAGUGGCUGGGGAAGCCCAGCCAGAUGGGCGGGGUACAAAUAGAUGAUGAUGAUGAUGAUGAUGAUGAUGAUAUUGUGGGAGAGUGGACUAGAUGAUCCUAGGAGUCCCUUCCAACCCCACUAUUCUAUAAGUGGUAAUUCACUAUGAUGGGAAUGUUAGACGCAGGGCUGCCAUCAUCCCCUUAGCUCGCUAGGAUCGCAGGGACGGGGACAUGUGGACCACUUGCGCAGCUCCACAUUUCAAAUGGAAAUUCCCUGAGCAAUAGAACCUGAAGCUGGUAUGCAGGAAGCUGGCCCGGUGGCAGCUUUGUUGGGACUUCUUUAGGGUCUCUGGCCAGUGUUGGCCCUGUAAAUUUACACAUCAUGGUGGCAACACAAGGCAGGGCUUCUUGCCCAAGCGGGGCUGGCAAGCAAUAACUCAAUACCUCUCGCCCAUAUUUCCAUAAAAAUAUCUCCCUUUAAAGCCUGGCUAAAAGGUUAUCUAGAUGCGUCAGUAGCUUUGUGCUUGUGGGAAGGGUUUUUCUCCAAGGUUUCGGGAUUCCUCUGGCUUUUCAGCCAGUGGCUCAGAAUACAGCAACUCAAAAGUCAGUUAGAGUCUGUGGUAGCCAGAAAGUCUGUGGUAGCCAGAAAGAAGGUUAGGAAGCAGCUUGCAUUGGGACGUAUGGUGGGAUCCCCUUGAUUCUCCUUCUAGUCCCGAUUUUCAUUUAUCCCCAUUGGGGAUCGUCCCUAAGAAAGCCCCAUAUAAUUCCAUCUGAUCCAUAUUUAUCGCACCCCAAAGGCACCUCAGUGAAUGAUGCUAUCCCUCCGGAAUUGUUCCGUGAAAUAUGCAUCUUUGGAUCAGGCAGUUGAGCUUACCAACAAAUUGGAGGAGGUGCCUUGUUGGCAUUAUGCGAUAUUGAAUCGGCUGUUAGGCUGCUGCCGGUUCACCCUCAAGAUUUUAAGUAGUUAGGCUUUAAUUGGAUGGUCCUUAUAUGGAUAAGGCGAUGCCAGUUGGUUGCUCAAUAGGCUGUGCAGCACUUGAGUCCUUUAGCGCCUUUCUGGAUUGAACAUUGCGAGUCAAGACUCUUUUAACUGGGGGUAUCGUUAUGUGGAUUAUUUUACUGGCUGGUUCAUGUGACACCAGCCUCUGCUUAGCUUACUAGAUGCCCCUUUAUUCCCUGAGGAGCUGGGUGUUCUGUUGGCAGUGGAGGACAGUGGCUCCUACUGCCCCUUUUAAUGUAUUUGGGGGCUAGCUGGAUACCGUUGCUCAAACAUCUGCUUGCCUGUGGAAAAGCUGUUUGCCUUGAAGGAUGUUAUUCUUGUAAUACUUCCUCUGAGGCAAGUGUUGCUUUGUCAGAUCCUAUCAUUCCUAGGUCAGUUAAAUUUUGCAUGCAGGGUGGUUGCUCCAGGCUGCCCCUUCCAUUCCUGCUUGGCCAGGUGGUCUCAUGGCCCGGUGUCCCUUCAUCAUCAUGUACAGUGGCCUUGAGCCUGGCAGGGCAAGGCAAUCACAUGUAACCUAACUUUCUUGAGUUUUCCUCAUUGUAGUGUCAGCGCACAUCUGGACUGAGGAGUUUAGGGACCGUCAGGUCUGUCUUGGUCUGAUAACCAGGCAGUGUGAGAGUCCUGGCAAAACGGUCUUCAUGCUCUGGCAGAGUCUUCGCACUGCUUAAGGUUUAAUAUUGCGUUUCUGCUCACUUUAUUUCGGGAUCAUCUAAUGUUUUUGCUGUGGCUCUAUCCCGUUUUUUCAGUUGGAGAGCUUCAGAUCCUGGGCUCUGGACACCCAGCUAUUUUUCUGGAGCUCCUGUGGCACUUGGCGACAAUUAAUAAUUAUGAGGAAUAGUAGCUUACGUUUCCCCAUCCGCUUUCAGGUCUUAUGAGAAGGCCUGGACUGAUUUCUUAAAAUUUAGCUGGUAGUCCUCGGCCAUUCAGAGGAACCUGCCCCCAUCCUCUGAGCAGGACCUGCAGUAAUUCGCCCACCUGCUGCAGAUAGGAUGCAGUGUUAAAACUAUCAGAAUUCAGUCCGCUGCAAUGUCUGCUAGAGUAAAGCUUUAAUUUUCAGAGACCCUUCUAAAAGUGUGUCAUGCGCAGGGUCUCGGAAGGUUGGAAUAGGCUCUGACCUUCACAGGACAGCAGGCAGGAAGCCGGUCAAUCUUUGACCUAUGCAGUAUCUGCAACAAGUUGAGACUUGUUGGCUGGUUCAAGAUCAAGACGAGACUUAUUUCAGUAUUCCAUUGUAAUUUUGGUGUACUGAGGGUUGGGGAAAUUGUGUUGGAGCCAGCACGGGGCUGAGAGUUUGGAGGCUUAUUGCCACAGGACUUUUCCUUAUCUGCUUUGGAGCUUGUCAUAAGUGUCUGGAGCUCUAAGUCAGACCUAGUGAGCAGGGUUGCCACCAUCAGGCUUCCAGUCACAGGUGAGGUGGGCCCUUGCCCUGUUAUUGGAUACCGGAAAUAUUUGGCUUUUCGUUCCCCUGGGGGCUGGCUCAAUCCUAGUGCACAGAAAUGGGUUCCGGUUCGACAGGCAUCUAAUUGCUCACGUCGUGCGCCAGUUAUUGCAGCCUGCGGCUUGCCUACCGCUGAACACGCCUCAUUCCUUCCAAAUAGGUGCUGCUGCAAAGGCUGCGCAUUGGGGCCUGUUAGUAGACAGGAUUGUGAAUACGGGUCAUUGGAAGUCUGACGCUGACAAAGGUUAUGUCAGGAAGCAUCGCCAAUGAUGCCUGUGCUGAUGCCUGUCUGUUAUUCCUUUUUCAUAGGAGCAGCUGUGCGCAUUUGGAUUGUCGGCCACAGCAUCAUGCACUGAGCUGGCAAGCACCCUGACGAGUCUGGACUGGGGGCGCCAUCUCGGCCUUCCUGCCCAUGUUUCUAGCUCCAGUCCGCAUCUGGAUUGUGGGGCACAGCAUCGUUUACUGGGCUGGCAUCAGAGCUAGGCAGUCUGGAAGGGGACUGGGUCUUGGCCUCCCGCAGCAUGUGCAGGUGUUGUGGAUGUCCAGGCGCAGAAUGCAGUAGAGCGAAUUCAUCCCGCUAAUUAAGCAGAGGGUGCUUUCGGAUGGCCCCCAUGGCAAUUGUGGUUCAGCUGGGGGAACGAUGUGGCAACUUAUGAUUGCUUUACUUUGCGCUCCACGAUUCAGAGAGACUUGGGUGAAUUGGUGACCUUAAUACCCACAGUUAAAAUAUUUUGGUCACAAUUGCUGCAAAGGCGCAAUUGGCACGGCAUUUCUCGACCUGAGGCUGCUGAAAGGGCCAGGAAGCGCAUUAAUUCUGCAGUGUGUAAGAAGGUGGCGGAUUUGGGUGGAUUGGUUAUUUCCCGCCCGGAUAUUACCUUCAAGGCUCUGGCCCUUUACCGCAAUGAUGGAGUACAUCUCUCUGUACUGGGGAAUGAUGUUUGGUUGGAUGCGGUAACUGCAAGGUUGAAGGUUGGGUUGGGAUUGUGAGUGGUUGGCGGCGAGCGUAAAGGGCUCGAUUGGCGGUUAGGCAUUGGUUAUAAAUUGGUGGAGGAGGGGUUAGGAUAGGCUGGGCCUGCCCCUCCAUGGUUGCUGCGGAAAGGGAAUUCCGUUAAAGGAAUCCUGGGGCUUGCCAUCUUUUCGUCCAAUCCCUGGAAUGGGACUAGGGCCGGCAAGCCUUCGGGAGCAUGCGGAUGAGAAUUGAGGGUCUGUGGCCCAGCUCCAUUUUUCUCCGACUUGCUUUCCCCGCACUGUCUUUCGGUGGUGCCCGGAAGUCAGUUCUGUCCCCAGGCGGGGGACAGAUAGUCUUAACCAAUGCCUAAACAACCACUCACGGUUUUGUAUUUAAAUAAAGUUGUGGCCAAAAUUAUGCCAAAAACCUUAAACAAAAAUUAAGUGUGCGUUGUGAGUUAUUUGGGGGGUGGCUUGGGGACCUCGACACGCAAAGCGUGUUCUCCUUCAUGGAGAGCACGUGUUGCGGUGGGGUCUGCUGAGCCACCCCUCUGUUACCAGGCAGGGUCUCUAAAGAUGGCCUGGGGCAGUGAUUGGUUCACUGGGUUGCUGGGGUAAAAGUUAUGUUGCAAUUUUGGUGGGAGGGGUAAAAUGUUUAAAUACUCUGCACGCAGCCUGGAGCUUUCUCUUUGCUGCGUGCAACGGAUCACCCGCCCACCCGCCCUUGAGUAAGGGGUUGUUGCAUUGACCUUGCUAUGCCUGUCAUGGGGUCGUCUGCCGUUGGGGCAGGGGCCUGGUAGGAAUUUUGUCCAUCUGGCUGAUUGGCUGGGCCAUUUGGUUUUUGCCUACUGCGUAGCAAAUCGUCACAACUUGUAAGGUUGUGGUUAGGCAUUGGUUAUAAAUUGGUGGAGGAGGGGUUAGGAUAGGCUGGGCCUGCCCCUCCAUGGUUGCUGCGGAAAGGGAAUUCCGUUAAAGGAAUCCUGGGGCUUGCCAUCUUUUCGUCCAAUCCCUGGAAUGGGACUAGGGCCGGCAAGCCUUCGGGAGCAUGCGGGUGAGAAUUGAGGGUCUGUGGCCCAGCUCCAUUUUCUCCGACUUGCUUUCCCCGCACUGUCUUUCGGUGGUGCCCGGAAGUCAGUUCUGUCCCCAGGCGGGGGACAGAUAGUCUUAACCAAUGCCUAAACAACCACUCACGGUUUUGUAUUUAAAUAAAGUUGUGGCCAAAAUUAUGCCAAAAACCUUAAACAAAAAUUAAGUGUGCGUUGUGAGUUAUUUGGGGGGUGGCUUGGGGACCUCGACACGCAA
RNAcentral lists this long non-coding RNA (5436 nucleotides) under Podarcis lilfordi (Lilford's wall lizard). Lineage: Eukaryota; Metazoa; Chordata; Lepidosauria; Squamata; Lacertidae. The record is from RNAcentral.